This is a long non-coding RNA of Daphnia pulex (common water flea), 3808 nucleotides long. RefSeq lists it as uncharacterized. NCBI's taxonomy places the organism in Eukaryota, Metazoa, Arthropoda, Branchiopoda, Diplostraca, Daphniidae. The record is from RefSeq and is a predicted model, not a curated record. The transcript has 2 exons.
UUUUGCUUAUUUUAUUUUUUGUGUUUUUCACAUCGAUAAUUCGCCGACCGGAGGGGAAGAAGAAGAAGAAAAAAUAACAAAACGGAAGAGCUGGGGGUGUGGGGAUAAUAUAAAAUGUACGGUAUAUUAUUGCAUUGCAAUUAUGGAUAUUUUGUUGCGAGUGGAAAAAGGUGAAUAAGUGGAAUAUGUUACUUGUUUUGUUUUUCGCUUCACCCAUUUUCUCGGCUGUCGGACCCUCCUGUACAUUGGUAGGAGCUGCUGGGUGGUUGUUGUUUUGUGUGUGUGUGUGUUGGACGUGCUGAUGUAUGUAGGGCAGGAUGUAUUCAAUUUGCGCGCCGUUUCCACACGGCAAGAUUUAUUCCUCCACAUAAAAGUCAGAUGGUAACCCACACAGACGACCACGGGGGUUUGGAGUUUGGAGGUCCGUUUGAGGUUUCGACAGCGAAAAAAAAAUUUUUGUUUCAAAUUGAAAAAUAGGAAGGAAAAAAAAAAAGGUUUUCAAAAGUGGGCCGCCACCGCUGAUCCUUGGCUGUAAAUUUUCUUUUAUUUAUUUUUUUCUUUUAGACUGUUGUUAUACUUUUGGUUAAUAUUCCCGUGUAAUAUUAUCUGAGCGUGUUGGGCUCCCAUCACGUAUAGUCGGUGCAGGGGUAUGUGUUAUGCUCGUCAGUCAGUCAAAUUAUGAGGUGCGUCCGUGUGUGAUUAUAGCGGCUUCUUCAUAUUGUGUAUGGAUGCGCGGUUACAUCAGCGACCAGCCAGCUCUGAACCGAAAGAAAACUUUGCAUUUGAUUAUUAGCUCUAUGAUUAUGUUUCGUCAGAACAAAAAAUAUAUAGAUUCAUCGGUUUUGAUGUGUAACAAAUCGACUUAUCCCUACAGGUAUAAGGUAUAUGUAGCCUGUGUACUACGUGUGUACUAUAUUCACCGAGAAAUGCCGCUAGCUUCCGACAGCACAGUUUCCAUCUCUUUAGAACAUUUUCUUUUUUGGGAAAUAUCUCUGGGUUAUAUUACAUAUAGAGCUGAGGAAUUUGUUGAUAGGGGAUACCAAAAAAUGUAAAGAGGUUAUGAUAGUAACGUAAUAACACUCUACCGCUGCUGCUACUGCUACUAGCUACUAUUCAUUUGUCUAGCCUUAAAUCGUAGUACUGUACUCUCAACUAUUAUUCCGACUUUUUUUCUUUUCUCUCUUCUUGUCCUUUUCCUCUUUAACGGCCCGAGAAAAAGAAGAAGAAGAAGAAGAAGAAGGUUAGGUUGGAAGAGCAGGUGGUAGAGGGAGGAGAAAAGGAAUGCGGGAUCAGGUGCCAAAAUGACAGACCCGGGGCCGGGGGUAUAAGCGCCAUCCAGUUGAACUGUUUUGGGGCUGGACCUGCCGUAUGUAUGUGCACAAGUGGAAGAAGGCGCCGGUUUGAAAUAAGAAAAUAAGAAGAACAAGUCCAGGUAGUGAUCUUAGUGUGUAUAGUCAAGAUGGGGUGGAGAGGAGAAGGUGAAUAAGAGGGAAAAUGUGAUGGGGGGGAAUGAAUAGAGAGAGGUGGAACAAGUGGGAAGAAUCUUAUUCGGAGAAAAGAAGAAUCUUCCGAAGAGAGAGAGGGGAGAAAAAAAUUCGAAAAUGUAGGUGCAGGUUGUUGCUCCAGGCGGAGACCUUCACCUAGACCCAAGGAACGCCAUCACGUCAGCACGUUGCAUGUUGACCUACAUUUCUGAUUCCUUCUUCUUUUUCUUCUUGUUUUAGAUCUUUUCCCCCCGCCAAGAAAAGAAAAACCAACGAGCGUGCGAUGAGAGAGCGCGCGCGCGCUAGCCGGCCCUAUACAACCCGCGACUCGGUCCGUCGCGUUUUGUCAGCAGACCCCGCGCGCUAUAUCCCCACCACCCAGCCACACACACACACACAGGUGUGUUUGCCAAUCAAAUGGCUACAUCUUUCCCAGAAAAAAACAGGAAGAAGAAGAAGAAGAAGAAGAAAAAAAAAGUGUUUUAUGACUUGUGUGUGUUGUGCCCUGCCCACCCAUUUGAGGAAUGGACAAAACGGACAGACAGACAGUGCCAGACAAGUGUGUGUAACGUCUGGCCGCCGCCGCCCUAUUGGACUCAAUAAUAAGGUUUUUGGUUCUAUUUAUUUCUCUCUGUUUCAACGAUGAAAGUGAAAUAAUAAUAAAAAAUAUGGCCAAAUUCGAAAUGUUUCCCCAAAAACAAAUGAAAUUCCCACCGAGUUCGCCGACCGCCAUGUCUUCUGGUUGUCGUAAUCAUGUAUAACCGGCGGCCGCAAAAGAGUUGCGACCGGGUCAACACUUUGCGGAAAACGUCACUCUCUCAUCCGGGAUGGAGAAAUACAAUCCGCAAUGACCUCUGGUCUCUCUCAGCUCACAUCACCUACGCUGUUUGUGUGUGCAAACGAUUUGAAAAAUAAAAGGAGGGAAAAACCCAUAUAACAUCUUAUAUUAUAUCCUAUUGCGGCUCUCUUAUAAACACGGCACGAUUCUCUCAGAUAUUUGACCCGGAGAAACCAAACAAACACGCAACGCACACGGGAUUGUUAUUGCGUCUAACGUAAUCAUCAAUGGCGGGGUUGAAAAAGGUGAUAACGAGUUUAACGCGCCGCCGAUGGAUCGCUCGCUCUACCACCGCGCAUAGAGUCCUAAAUUAUCAUUUGCCCCCCCUUCGGAAAGUGGGGUUUUUUCUUCUCUUUUGCAUCAUGCUAAUUACACCGGGAGGGGAGUUAUAUAAUUAGAGAAAAAAAAAGGACCAACCCCGAAAUGAGAGUGAGGAGGAGUUCAGGGUUGUGUGGUGUGUCGGCGCCGCGGCGUCUACAACUCAAUUAGUUGGUAGCAGCUCAUUCUCCAAACGCUGUGUGUUAGAUACGAAGGUUAAAUAGGAGUUUCACUGGGGGGUUGUUCUUCCAGGUCAAAUAUCCCCCCCCCCCCCAAAAGAAGAAGAAGAAGAUGUGGAUGGGGGUUGGCAGCUAGUGAAAAUGGAAUUUUUGAUAUGUGUCUUAACUUCUUCUUCUAGCGGGGGGAAAUAUCAUUAAGAGAAAACAAUUUUUCAAAAGACUUUGGACGGGGGGGGGGAAAUGGGUUCUCUAGUUAUUUGGAGAGCCAUCACGACACGGGGCACAGACUGGGAGAGAAAAGAAUGUCAGAUUCUCUCUCUCUCUCUAUCAAUACGCAGAGAUGAUGCGCUUCUUCUUUGAGAGAAAAAGAAUUAAGAAGACCCGUUUUUUAUUUAUUUUAUUUUUUUCGAUUUUUGAAUGGGAACAAAACCCCGGGAGCCAUUGGGACGACGCGCUCGCAACUGGGCGGCUGACCUCUUUCCUUAAUAGACACACAGCACAGCACACAGCAGCAGCGGAGAGUUCCUUUUUGAUUCUCCAGCCCCAACAACAACAAAUCUUCUUUUUUAAUAUUCUUCCACAUCACCUGAUACAAUGUUAAACGUACUAUGGAAUUUCGACCCCAAAAAUGGAUCGUAGCGUGAAAUGGGUAAUAAUAGGCUACGACGUUAUUACAAGUUUUCUUCCAGAAACCGGUCCGUCGUCGCUGCUACGUCAAAAAACUACACACAUACACGAAGGCCGCGCUGUAGACAACAAAUCGGGUUACGACCCGAUAUGGCCAGCCGUUUGAUUUAAAUCUAAGAAACAAGACGCUCGACAACUGUGUCACCCACCAUCAUCCCGUUUGCAACUUAUUUUGAUGUCAUUCGACACGAAAUUUGCACUUUCGAAAUUCCUUUUCCUGUUUGAAAACAAACAAACAAAAAUGUCGAUUUUACAUAAUGCGUGUUAGCGUUUUUCUCUAAUAAAACACAAGUCUUUUUCGA